GAGUUUGAUUCUGGCUCAGAACGAACGCUGGCGGCGCGUCUUAAGCAUGCAAGUCGAACGGCAAGAAAGGAGCUUGCUCCUUUCCUAGAGUGGCGGACUGGUGAGGAACACGUGGGUAAUCUACCCUUGAGAUGGGGAUAGCCGUUAGAAAUAGCGGGUAAUACCGAAUACACUUAUUAUUUCACAAGAGAUAGUAAGGAAAGGAAGCUACGGCUUCGCUCGAGGAUGAGCCUGCGUCCCAUUAGCUAGUUGGUGAGGUAACGGCUCACCAAGGCAACGAUGGGUAUCCGGCCUGAGAGGGUGAUCGGACACAUUGGGACUGAGAUACGGCCCAAACUCCUACGGGAGGCAGCAGCUAAGAAUAUUCCGCAAUGGACGGAAGUCUGACGGAGCGACGCCGCGUGGAUGAAGAAGGCUGAAAAGUUGUAAAAUCCUUUUGUUGAUGAAGAAUAAAGGUAAGAGGGAAUGCUUAUCUGAUGA
RNAcentral lists this ribosomal RNA (480 nucleotides) under Treponema sp. canine oral taxon 233. Its description in RNAcentral is "bacterial SSU rRNA". It matches the Rfam family "Bacterial small subunit ribosomal RNA", at positions 9 to 472 of the family's 1533-position model. The record is from RNAcentral. Lineage: Bacteria; Pseudomonadati; Spirochaetota; Spirochaetia; Treponematales; Treponemataceae.